AAACCAACAGGGAUUGCCUCAGUAACGGCGAGUGAAGCGGCAACAGCUCAAAUUUGAAAUCUGGCCUCACGGUCCGAGUUGUAAUUUGUAGAGGAUGUUUUGGGCACCGCCCCGGGUUAAAUUUCUUGGAACAGAAUGUCAAAGAGGGUGAGAGUCCCGUCUUGGCCCGCGGUAGGACCUGUGUAAAACUCCUUCGACGAGUCGACUUGUUUGGGAAUGCAGGUCAAAAUGGGUGGUAAAUUUCAUCUAAAGCUAAAUAUCGGCCAGAGACCGAUAGCGCACAAGUAGAGUGAUCGAAAGAUGAAAAGCACUUUGAAAAGAGAGUUAAACAGUAUGUGAAAUUGUUGAAAGGGAAGCGCUGGCAACCAGACUCGAACGCGGUGUUCCCCCUGGCUUCUGCCUGGGCUACUUCACCGUGACCGGGCCAUCAUCAGUUUCGGGGGUCGGUCAAAGGUUCGAGGAAUGUACCCACUCCUUCGGGGGUGGACUUAUAGCCUCGGGCGUCAUGCGACCUCCCGGGACUGAGGAACGCGCUUCGGCGAGGAUGAUGGCGUAAUGGUUGUCAGCGAC
RNAcentral lists this ribosomal RNA (570 nucleotides) under uncultured fungus. RNAcentral's name for it is "eukaryotic LSU rRNA". It matches the Rfam family "Eukaryotic large subunit ribosomal RNA", at positions 62 to 648 of the family's 3401-position model. The record is from RNAcentral. Lineage: Eukaryota; Fungi.